CUUAAAUGGGUGAUCCAGCCAGGUAAUAGUAUUUUGAGCCCUAAAUGAGAUGGUGCCGCAAAGUCAAGAGACAGAGUUUUGGUUAAUGCAUUAAUAAUAAUUGAAGACAGCCCCAGAUCAGAAGAUUAAAAAAUGUCCUAAGCAAUGAUGACAUCAAUAUGUAGUAAUUUAAAUUCAUUUGUGUUUGUUUUUCAGAGUUUAGUCUUGCUACUUUAUAGCCACAAGUGUCAUUUAAAAAAAAAGCCAACAACCCUUGUGUAAUUCUCUGAUUUAAGUGCUAAUAAACAGCAUAACUGUCUCCUCCCCCUGUCCCUAACUGUGAAGUUAUGUGAUUUUCAGAACUUUUUUCAGAGUUGGGCAUCUUUUCCUUUAAAAGAAACAACAGGAGAAAAAAGCUGUUUAAUUCCUGGAGAAGAAAUGACACACUUUCCUCCCUAAAGAGAGAAGGAAAAACAAAACAAAACCUGCAGUCCUCAACCAGCUUAGCACUAAUUUGUCUCUUAGGGAGAGAAGAAUUACUCAUUGUGUCUUUAUUGGGGAGAGGUGGAUAAUGCUAAUGAGAAGGUUAUCAGUCCUUUCUAUUUUGUUGAUAAAGAGUGCUGCUCUUAUUUAACAGAUGCUGUGCCUUCAAGGGCCCCCACUGUAGCAAGUAUAAUGAUAAAUAAGGUGUGAUUAUAAAUGGCAAUGACAUGUCUUCUCAGUGUCAGAGAGAAAAUAGGGCAUGGUGGGGACUACAGUAAACUGAAACCCUCCCAUCCCAUGUGCAGGGAGGAGCCAUUCCAUCCAGUUGUGACAGUGUGGUAUUUCCUGGUCAUUUCAUUUUUCAAAAGAUGCUGAGAAUCUUGAUUUUUUUAUGUGAAAAAUUAUCAUUUUUAAAAUAUCAGAAACUAAAUUAAAAUUUUUAAAUGAAUUCAGGCCCAGUGAAACACAUAGGUGGAUCUGAUACUCUGUCCACUAGCUGCCCGUUUGCCACCUCUGCUUUAUAAGUUUUGAAAAGAAAGUCAUUCAUGGUAAUUACAAAUGUCAGGGCCACCAGAAAAUGCUCUUGAUAAAUGUAACUGGGAGCUAGCUAGAUUACUUCUUUUACCCAUUGCUCCCCUAAAGAAAUUUGAUGCGACUGUGAUUAUAUUUGAAAUGUUUUGGUUGUUUCUUCACACCUCCUCACCUCUUAAGAAAAAGGCAAACUAGUUGUUAAUUUCAAAAUCAGAUUUUUGCUCUCCCAAUUAAAAAAAAAAAAGUCACUUGAAACAAUUUCACUUAAACUCCGCAACCUGAAGGACCUUAUUUAUACAAUGUGUAAUUCUGAGCUUAGGCCAAGGCUUAGUAAGGAAAGCAGGCAUUGUGAAGAGUAGGGCAAGGAAUCCUCAAUGUCCACUGAAGCCAGUUAUUUGCUUUGUCUUCUCUUUUAAAUGACCUGCGAAUUGAAUUGACUGGAGGUGCGAAACUGUAUAUGUAGAUAUCAGUUAGGAUUCCUCGUGGGUGUUGGGUCAUCCUUGCUGUAUCACCUCCUUUCCAGGGUCAGGGUGAAAAUAAACAAAAGGAAAUCUGAUUGUAAGCCAAUAGCUUUGAUUGUGAUUUCAGAGCUUUGGGGUUGGGAGAAAGUUUGGAUUAUCUGCCAUGUACCUCUCCUGGUGUCAGACAGGGCUGUGCAUUAUUUCAGACAUGUGGCUGUGGAUGGGAUUCUGGAUUUUCAGCGAAGGAGAUUCUGUAACCUACCCUCCUAAUCAGAUAGUUCUUUGUACAUCUUCCUUAUAGAAAUUCAAACCAGCCUUCUUUUGUUCGCAUGUAGUGGAAAAAGAACAGCUGGUCACCUUCCGUGUAUUUGAAAGCCACAGUGAAGUCACCCCUCUGGUGUUUUUAUUUCAGUAAUAAAUAAUCCUGUUCCAACUCAUUCUUCACAGGUUUGUUUUCUAGGGACUUCAUAAUUUUCACUGCUCUUCUGUUUCUUGGCUUUACACUCAAUUUAGUUGCCCAAAUAGAAUGUGGUGCCUUAUUCACAUUGGUGCCUUGUUAAGACCAGGCUCAGGAUGGGGAUUAACAGAAAUUCUUACACAUCUUGUCUUCUCUUAGUACAUAAAAAUAUAAAGGCACUUUUUAAAAAAUAUAUUACCUGUAUUCUUUUUGAAGGUUGACUGCCACAUUUUUUUUUUCCCUUUGGCAGUAGUCCUCUGUCAUAUGUGGGAUUUUUUUCCCCCUCUUAUGGUCAGACACUUAUUUCUGGAUGUGUUUAAUGUCAUUCCUGAUCUUCUCCAGGGUACUCUUCAAGACCAGCUCUGACUGAGUUGUUAUGGGUGGCAACUACCCCUCCCUUCCAAUUUUGGAUUCUAUUUUUAUGUAUCUCUAGAUAUCACCUUUAAUUCAUGACUCACAGUAUUAUUAAAUGGUGCAAACUUCUGUUUAACCUCAGGUGAGACAGCAGUUGCUAAGGAUUAAUUUGCUAAGAGGUCAAGGGAGGACUCCUUGGGAGUUUUGGUCGGUUGUCUUCCCUCCUGCUCUUUGGCUCCUCUCCAAAAUUCAUCCGGGACCACGGGCUCCUCAAGGAGCUUGUACUAAAAAGCUGGAGCCAUGGCUCUGAAUUGACCAAGCACUGUGGUUUGCACAGUCAGAAGUCUGACAAAAGCAAACCAUUAUGACUGCAUAUCUAAUGUUAUCAAAAUUUCAACGGAGAAGAUUAAGAAAAGCAAUUCUGUUUGUGUGGGACAUAGACACAGUUGGCCACCCCAGUUGUUAGAAUAAUUACCAUUAGAUUAUGCUAAUGUGUACUUGUCUGUUAUUUUAACAAGGUUUUUUUUUUUUUUUUCUGUCUCAAGAAAAAAAUGCAGUGCGUCUGGAGAGAGCAAAAACUUUUGUAAAAAUCAAAUGUAUUCAUUUAGAAAGUAGGCUACUUCUGUUUUCACUGUUUGUUUUGUUUUGUUUCUCAUUGCAGAAGCUCCCUGUUAAUAUGCUUUUUUGAGGAAAGCCUGUGGAACACAGUGGUUAUUGCCAUUGUCUUUGUUUCAUCUUUAAGUUUGUCCUUCAUGAGGUUUGGUGGAAUUGUGAGCACUGACUGACAGACUAGCAAUAUGCUAUAUUUUUACGUUGAAAAUGUUAAUGUCUUAUUUGAUGUGUACAUACCUCUGUAAAUAGGUGACAGUAGACCAUAGCUGACAUUUGCAAAAUGUUGUUUUUGUACUCUAGAAUUUCUGCAUCAAAUAAAUAAAAUGUUUUAACAUUUUUG
RNAcentral lists this long non-coding RNA (3217 nucleotides) under Sus scrofa (pig). RNAcentral's name for it is "lncRNA (ENSSSCG00000057242.1, ENSSSCG00160047231.1, ENSSSCG00180028118.1)". The record is from RNAcentral. Lineage: Eukaryota; Metazoa; Chordata; Mammalia; Artiodactyla; Suidae.